UCCUUUAGCAGCACUUGGAGACACUAAAGGUCAGUUAUCUGCACUUCUUUCUGGUAAAUGGGAAGAGAUCCAACAUUUCAUCCUCAGCAGUAAGCCAAAGUAGAGUAUAUGGCCCACUUCUUUCCUUGAGCUAAAUCUAUUUUGGCUAUGAGGAGCUCUUAUUAAACUGCAUUUUCCCACUUAAGCACAUUUACAAGCACAGUGUAAGUACAAAUACGAGAACCAUAUGUAAAAAAUAGUGCUUUACCACAAAGUUUUACCACAAAAACAUGAAAAGGUGAGAAGUCCAUGACCCAGUUUUCCACAACCAGGAGGGGAAGGAUCAAGAAGCCAAAAAUCUGAUUAAAGCCAAGUGAAAGUCAUGCCUAAAUUCCUCCGGCAUGAAAUGGUCCAAGUUUGAAUCCAGCAUGUGGAUCCAUUUCAAUGCAGGCAUCACAGAUGUCAUCAUGUCUGCAAUGUGCAUCUGAACCGAGCCCAUCCAUUCAUCCAUCCAUUAUUAAACAACCAUCCUGGUCAGGGUCGCCAGGGGAGCUGGGGCCGAUCCCAACAGGCAUUAGGUGACUUUGUGUGGAGUUUGCACGUUCUCCACGUGUCUGCGUGGGUUUCCUCCCGGUGCUCCUAUCUAUUCCCACAUGCAGGUUUAGUGAACCGGAGACUCUAAAAUUUCAUGUAGGUGUGAAUCUGAGUGUGAAUCAAGCCCCCAAAGGUUACAUUUGAAAGGUUAAACCAGGUCUAUUGCAGUUUCUUUUCUAAGAACUUUGGACCGCGAUCCAACUUUCACAAACAUUAGUGACACAAGUUUGUCAGCGAUGUGGCCUUGGUGAGGGAACGACUGUGAUUCCAGUAAGUGUUUUGAAACCACCUGCUGCUGCCAGAUAUCCUACCUCCAGAGACAGCUGUGUGAAUGUGCGUGCAUGUGUUUGCCUUUACCCAUCCAUGUGCACUUUGAGUGUGUGUGUGUGUGUGUGUGUGUGUGUGUGUGUGUGUGUGUGUGUGUGUGUGUGUGUGUGUGCAUGUGUUUGUGUCAGAGCAUCCAGCUCAUGCAUUCCUCGUGGAUGGAGUCAAUACUUUGGAGGAGACCCUGCUGCCUGGACUAUUGAGUGUGUCAGGACUAUGAGGGAAACAAGAAAGGAAAAAGGGAAAGAAAGAGGCUGGCUUCAAGAGGAACACUUGGUAUUAUGCCACACACACACACACACACACACACACACACACACACACACACACACACACACACACACACACGUAAAGCACCCCUGCAAAUCUUUGCUGGAUCCUGAAGGCAAUUUCCUCCACUGGUUCAUCCAGAAAUCAUUUCAUAACUCAGGGACAUUAGUUGUUUUCCUAUGACACAUGUACAGGUGUAGACCCCCACUGAGGACCCCCAGUCCUGAGCCUUGAGGACGUCACUUGGAAGCUUCUUUGUGAUCCCAGUUCUACAACCAGCGUUGGUCUUCCUUUCGUCCAGAAAGCCUCUGCCUGGGAGGCCUGAUUACACAGAGGCUCAGAGGAGGAUAAAGGAGCUGGAUAUUUGCUGUGUGUGUGUGUGUGUGUGUGUGUGUGUGUGUGUGUGUGUGUGUGUGUGUGUGUGUGUGUGUGUGUGUGAGUGUGUGUGUUUUGCUGUUGCUUUUUCCAUUAAACCUAUUCUGUAUUUUGAUAUACAGCAAGAAAAUGUUCAUGGAGUUUAUAGAAGGAAGUAGAGGCAUCUACAGACUCAUCAAGUCAUGUACGAGUGAUUUAAACCUCUGAAUAACAAACUAAUGAACAAUAUUAUCUAAUUUCCUUUACACAUGUUGUUUGACACGCCCAUAUGGGAAGGCCUGUACAGCUCUGCUGGCACAUCAGCUCCUAUAAGUCUCAGACAUCCCAAGAUCAUCAGCCAGGCUCAGAAGUACACCAGGAGCCCCCAGCUCCAAGUGUCUCUGCCCACGGGAGAUGGUGAUGGAGGUGGUCCCAAAUGUCUUUGCCUCGUCCAAACACAUCCUUCAAUAUGCCCUCCCAGCAGCUCAGUAAAAUGGCUGUUGGAGUCACAAAAGCAGUUGAGGACCGUGGACUGAGGACUCUGCUGCUCUCAUCUCCAUGCUGUUGCAAGUCAAUUUCUCCCGCUCCAUCAGAGACCACAUGGUGCGGUCUAUCCAGGAAAAGGGUUAGACAGGGUUAUACUCAAGAUGUCCUGGUGUAGAGGCUCAACUACUUUGCAGCAGAAGGGCUGAACACCACUGCUGGAGAAAAGAGUGCUUUUUCAGCCUCAGACUCUGAACAACAGUGCUAGACCUCCUGCCAACAUCUGCCUGGAGGAAACAGAUGAACAGCCAGAACCAGUCUCUACUGGGGUUGCUGCUGGUGCAGCCUGUUCUGGAGGAGGACACUGAAGCAAUCAGAGAAACAGUCUCUGUUGGCAUUACUCCUCCACCAGCUUUAUAAAAAUGUCCACAAAACAUUUUGUUAAUAAAUCUGAACUAUAAUACAACAAUGCAAUUAAUAAACUAUAAUUAACAUCAAAA
Dicentrarchus labrax (European seabass) is the source of this 2504-nucleotide long non-coding RNA. RefSeq lists it as uncharacterized. The record is from RefSeq and is a predicted model, not a curated record. Lineage: Eukaryota; Metazoa; Chordata; Actinopteri; Moronidae. The transcript is spliced from 2 exons.